GACGAACGCUGGCGGCGUGCUUAACACAUGCAAGUCGAGCGGUAAGGCCCUUUCGGGGGUACGACGAGCGGCGAACGGGUGAGUAACACGUGGGUGACCUGCCCUCAGCUCUGGGAUAAGCCUGGGAAACCGGGUCUAAUACUGGAUAUGACUCCAUGACGCAUGUUGUGGGGUGGAAAGCCUUGUGCGGCUGAGGAUGGGCCCGCGGCCUAUCAGCUUGUUGGUGGGGUGAGGCCUACCAAGGCGACGACGGGUAGCCGGCCUGAGAGGGCGACCGGCCACACUGGGACUGAGACACGGCCCACGACUCCUACGGGAGGCAGCAGUGGGGAAGUCUUGCGCAAUGGGCGAAAGCCUGACGCAGCGACGCCGCGUGAGGGA
RNAcentral lists this ribosomal RNA (381 nucleotides) under uncultured bacterium. Its description in RNAcentral is "bacterial SSU rRNA". It matches the Rfam family "Bacterial small subunit ribosomal RNA", at positions 28 to 408 of the family's 1533-position model. The record is from RNAcentral.